UACGUAGGGACCGAGCGUUGUCCGGAAUCAUUGGGCGUAAAGCGCGUGUAGGCGGCCACUUAAGUCCUGCGUGAAAUCUUGCGGCUCAACCGCAAGCGGUCGUGGGAAACUGGGUGGCUAGAGGGCGGGAGAGGAGAGUGGAAUUCCUGGUGUAGCGGUGGAAUGCGCAGAUAUCAGGAAGAACACCCGUGGCGAAGGCGGCUCUCUGGAACGCAACUGACGCUGAGACGCGAAAGCGUGGGGAGCGAACAGG
Molecule: ribosomal RNA, 253 nt
Filed under: uncultured bacterium
Lineage: Bacteria
Description: partial 16S ribosomal RNA
Rfam family: Bacterial small subunit ribosomal RNA
Source: RNAcentral